Triticum dicoccoides is the source of this 1160-nucleotide RNA transcript. RefSeq lists it as uncharacterized. The record is from RefSeq and is a predicted model, not a curated record. Lineage: Eukaryota; Viridiplantae; Streptophyta; Magnoliopsida; Poales; Poaceae. The transcript is spliced from 3 exons.
UUUUCCUCACUCCCUCACCUCACGCAAUCUCUGCUCUCUCUCCUCCCGCCUAUGCCCGUCGCGUCUCCUCCUCCCUCCUGCUCCUCUCGCUCUCCUCAGCACGAGCACGGCAGCUGCUCCUCUCGCUCUCCUCAGCGCGGCAGCGCCUCCUCGUGCUCCAGACCACGGGUGAGUCACCUCCGGUCGGCGCCGCCGCCAGCGGUUCGGGCCUCCUUCGCCUCCCACACCGUCGACCUUGGUGGCCAUCUCCACCGCCUCCUUGUUCCGCCGGUCCGGCGCGACCACCACCUACCAGCUCUGCCCCGACAAGCUCCGCCACCAUGCGCGGGGCGCACCUUCUGCAAGCUUCAACGUCCCGGCUCUGUCCUACUCCUCUCGACCGCGCCGCCAAGCUCAGGUCCGGCCAGCAUGGAUCUCUGCCAUCAGACGUCGCGCGUCCAAAUCCAUGGCGUUCUCCGCCGUCCUCCUCGUGCAGUGCAACGCUACUCCCCACGCCCACGGUGGUCGGGGCUGCUACCAAGUUGCUACCAGCUUGGAUGAUUGCUUUUGGAUGAUUUUUGCUGUUGGCCGCAUGAUUUGCUACAUUGUUAUUUUUAUUUUGCUAUUUUCUGUUUUAUAAAUGCUGUAAUAUUGUUAAAACAAAAUAACAGUUUGUGGUUUUUUCUCAUCUUAUGUGCAGGUAACAAUGCAAUAAAGCGAGGUGGAACGGGGGCAGGAGCCAUCACCGGCCACUCUGUUUCCUAGCUUUUCGGGCAGUGUGGCAUCAAUGGCGUACAACCAUAGUGGCCAACUUUUGGUAGUUGCUUCAAACUUUACUCAUCAAGGAGCAGAUAGAGUCUGGAGGUGGAGGGGCACCAGAUAUUUAUCGAAACGAUGCGGGAUUCCAAAAGGAAGAAGUCUCCCUGAGAGUAGAAGCUCUCUUCUUACCCAGACCGGUCCAGCCGACUACUUGUACAAUUAAUCGAGCCCUACCACUGUAGUCCCCCCCUAACAUUAUUGAGCUGGGCAGAGUAGCAUUCAUGCCAUUGUAUGUUGUGUUUUGUUUUAUGUAUGUUUAGGCCUCUUUUUUAGUGAGAUGAAACAAGAGAGCAACUUGUUGGAAGUAAUACAUUUGAUGUGUGCAAUCCAAUGAGUGCUGAGGCACGCAGUGAAUAUUGUUA